CGUAAACCUGUGUGACCACUACGGUGACCAGUUCCCGCUUUGAACGAACCUUCCCGCUCUCUCUCUCCGCGCUCAGUUCUGUCGGUCCUAAACGGAGACAGCUGAACCCACUGUCCGACCGUGAGUCUGAAGACAAACACAGCCUUAUUCCACCGCAGGCUGCUUUAUCGUGAGUAUAAUCAUCUCUGUAUUUAGUGUCAUAUUCCGCUACUUCUCUUUAGGUCAAUAAAUAAGGGCAAGUUGUAACACUUGUGUUCACAGUGGGCCUGUCCGAACUCCAAACAUGGCGAAGCGACGAGGGAAACUGAACCACAUGGACAUAAGAACGUUUUUGAGUCCACAAAAACGCAGAGUAAUGGAUCCUGAAGAGGGAAGUGGAGACGCCCAGUCGCAGGGAGAAGACUUGAACAACCAGGAUUUGAAUCACAAACCAAAGAUAAAGUCUGAGGAAGCCGCUGGGUCAGAGGUGAGUAUGAUUAUGCUUUUGCAGAGAUCAGCUGAUUCCCUGAAAACACUGAAGGACUAAUGUAGCAAGUGUUUUCAAGCGCCAAAACCAAACUCUUAUCGUACUAAACCCCUUCUUCAUGUUUGCAUCCGACAUAAACUGUUUACGCUUGUGACAUGUUUGUUUUGCAGGUUCAUUCACAUAAAUUCAUUUUAAAAUUCAAGAACUCUGAGGACAGAUACAC
RNAcentral lists this long non-coding RNA (689 nucleotides) under Neogobius melanostomus (round goby). RNAcentral's name for it is "lncRNA (ENSNMLG00000006417.1)". The record is from RNAcentral. Lineage: Eukaryota; Metazoa; Chordata; Actinopteri; Gobiiformes; Gobiidae.